UACGGAGGGGGCGAGUGUUGUUCGGAAUUACUGGGCGUAAAGGGCGCGCAGGCGGCUUGGCAAGUCAAGUGUGAAAGCCCUCAGCUUAACUGAGGAAUGGCGCUUGAAACUACCUCGCUAGAGGGUGGGAGAGGGAAGUGGAACUCUCGGUGUAGGGGUGAAAUCUGUAGAUAUCGAGAGGAACACCGGUGGCGAAGGCGGCUUCCUGGCCCACAUCUGACGCUGAGGCGCAAAAGCGUGGGGAGCAAACAGG
This 253-nucleotide ribosomal RNA is filed under the name uncultured bacterium. Its description in RNAcentral is "partial 16S ribosomal RNA". It matches the Rfam family "Bacterial small subunit ribosomal RNA", at positions 524 to 776 of the family's 1533-position model. The record is from RNAcentral.